RNAcentral lists this transfer RNA (71 nucleotides) under Marmota marmota marmota (Alpine marmot). It matches the Rfam family "tRNA". From Rfam's summary of the family: Transfer RNA (tRNA) molecules are approximately 80 nucleotides in length. Their secondary structure includes four short double-helical elements and three loops (D, anti-codon, and T loops). RNAcentral also lists the same sequence under 3 other names. The record is from Rfam by way of RNAcentral. Lineage: Eukaryota; Metazoa; Chordata; Mammalia; Rodentia; Sciuridae.
GGGGUUGUGACUCAGUGGUAGAGCGCUUGCCUAGCAUGUGUGAGGCUCUGGGUUUGAUUCUCAGCACCCCA